This 374-nucleotide long non-coding RNA is filed under the name Homo sapiens (human). Its description in RNAcentral is "HSALNT0092931". The record is from RNAcentral. Lineage: Eukaryota; Metazoa; Chordata; Mammalia; Primates; Hominidae.
CCGGAGCGGAGCUGCACUUCACGCCGAAGUUUCCCCUUCGAAUCGUCUGGAGUUGCCACUUUGGAGGCAGAUUCUCCAGCCUUGGUCAGGCCUUCAGAUGACUGCAGCCCUGGCUGAUGACUUGACUGCCACCUCAUGAGAGACCUUGAGCCAGAACCACCCAGCCAAGCCACUCCUGGAUUCCUGAUCCACAGAAACUAGGUGAAACGUCAAGAAUGACUAAAAGCCAACAUUCAAGAAGACAGCAUCUGCAAACAAGUGUUGAUCCCAAGUGUAAUCCUAGGGAACCCGACUUAAGGCCUCCCCAUCUGAAGAACACAAUCUCAAGGAAGAAUUUAAGGGGAAACCUGUCUACACAGUUUGACUUUCUGUAA